UCAAGAAAAGUCUCUAUAGGCUGCCCAACACAAAAACCAGGCAAUCACUGUAAGCCCCUCUUAUUUACUAAACCUAUUUCUGCCACUGACUACUGGAAGUGGCUAUGUCUUAGUUAUUUCUAAGAACAAUAUGUACAGUUUGUCCUUCAGAAAUGCUUUGCGAUUAGAUAAUUACUGCACUCAAAGAGACAUCUUACAGCUUUUAAUAGGACAUUUUGUCUUUUCUGGGAGCAAAGGAGUUGUGAAUGGGUAUGAAAAUAGUAUUUGUUCAGUAAUAUGUUUUUGCUAGAGCACAGUUUUGGUGGCUGCAAUCAGUGGAGCGAUCCCUUCUAAAUCUUGAUGUGAUAUUACUGGAACUUAGUGAAAUAGAAGAGAUCACUCCUUUGUUCUGAUUUUUACAGGAAAAUGCGUGGCUGGAAGCUUUGUAACCACUUUUUUCUCUCUGGAGGAUUGAUAGUUCAGUCCUUUCAGAUGUGGAUCAGACAUAUAUACUCCAUGGAGUGUGAAGUGGGAAGAAGGAAAGACAAUAGGAAAAAUGAUCUUCAAUGACAUUAGCAAUCAGCACAAUUUACAAGAGUUAAAGUUACCAUAGGAACACAGAGAAGAUGAAAGUUUACUGCCAGAAUUAAUGCCCCCAACUUUGCUAUGAAGACCAAGGCACUGUGGAAUUGUGUGUCUACGUUUGGAAAGUCAGCUUGUGCCUAAAUGGAUUUUGAAGAUAUCAGGCAUUCUAGGAUUGAGAAUGAGAAUUCCUUUUGUUACAACAGGCAAGAGUAAGAGCCAAUAAAUAAAAGAAUGCUACAUUUUAA
Gorilla gorilla gorilla (western lowland gorilla) is the source of this 809-nucleotide long non-coding RNA. RefSeq lists it as uncharacterized. The transcript is spliced from 2 exons. Lineage: Eukaryota; Metazoa; Chordata; Mammalia; Primates; Hominidae. The record is from RefSeq and is a predicted model, not a curated record.